This is a long non-coding RNA of Pantherophis guttatus, 836 nucleotides long. RefSeq lists it as uncharacterized. The record is from RefSeq and is a predicted model, not a curated record. Lineage: Eukaryota; Metazoa; Chordata; Lepidosauria; Squamata; Colubridae.
CCUCUUCGGGCACCCACCGCUCAGAAUCGCGGCCAUCGAAGAAAACGAAGUCGCCGCUGCGGACGCACUUGGCGCAGGAAACCCGAGCUUCUGUACCACGCGAGCAUACUUUCUGGCUGCCAGUCGUGACUGCUCUUCACUGCAAAUUUACAACAAGCAUUAAAAAAACAAAGCCAGCCAGCAAAGCUUUAAGACAAGAGAUUCUGGAUGGCUCGACUGGGAGCUGCUUGUUUCAUGAUACUGACUGAGUCAUCUUUAUCAGAAGGGAAGGCGUGUGGAGACCUUCAUUAGGUCACUAUUUAGGCCAGCUGGUGAGCAAGAUCUCCCUUCUCUCCACCCUGCAAAUUACCAAGGGUAUCUCAAAACAACUGAAAACGUGGAGAAACAGCCUUAAAGAUGAAGGAUGUGCAGCUGAACCAUGCUGUGAAAAAAUCAAGAGGCCAAAAGAUUUGAUAGACACUUGAUGUCUGCUUGAAGAGGAGGGUUAAGAAAUAGACAGUGGUGGAACAGCCCAAUAUUAUUUGGAUUAAAAAAGUAGACACUAGAAACAUGGGUAGUUUGAAAAACUCAAAAGAUAGUUUACUAUAAAAGACACUUUUGUUUUGUGUAGGUCUGUUACCUUGUCUUAUAAGAAAAACACCAUAAUUUCCUUAUGGGACUAUAUUGAUGGCAUGGUAUUUAAUUGCCAUCCAAUUCUGGAAAACUUUUUUUUAAUCAAAUGUUGGAUAUGAUGCUGCGUUAUUACAAAUGUCUCAAAAACAUUGUAUGGUUUUACAGUUGUUGGCAAUUUUUGCAUACAAAGCUGCUUAAUAAAUUCCCAUAACUUAUAAAAAGUC